RNAcentral lists this ribosomal RNA (503 nucleotides) under uncultured Pseudomonas sp. Its description in RNAcentral is "bacterial SSU rRNA". It matches the Rfam family "Bacterial small subunit ribosomal RNA", at positions 903 to 1382 of the family's 1533-position model. Lineage: Bacteria; Pseudomonadati; Pseudomonadota; Gammaproteobacteria; Pseudomonadales; Pseudomonadaceae. The record is from RNAcentral.
CGCCUUGCCAGCCCGCUCAGAAACUUAAAGGAAUUGACGGGGGCCGCACAAGCGGUGGAGCAUGUGGUUAAUUCGAAGCAACGCGAAGAACCUUACCAGGCCUUGACAUGCAGAGAACUUCCAGAGAUGGAUUGGUGCCUUCGGGAACUCUGACACAGGUGCUGCAUGGCUGUCGCCAGCUCGUGUCGUGAGAUGUUGGGUUAAGUCCCGUAACGAGCGCAACCCUUGUCCUUAGUUACCAGCACGUUAUGGUGGGCACUCUAAGGAGACUGCCGGUGACAAACCGGAGGAAGGUGGGGAUGACGUCAAGUCAUCAUGGCCCUUACGGCCUGGGCUACACACGUGCUACAAUGGUCGGUACAAAGGGUUGCCAAGCCGCGAGGUGGAGCUAAUCCCAUAAAACCGAUCGUAGUCCGGAUCGCAGUCUGCAACUCGACUGCGUGAAGUCGGAAUCGCUAGUAAUCGUGAAUCAGAAUGUCACGGUGAAUACGUUCCCGGGCCUU